This 497-nucleotide ribosomal RNA is filed under the name uncultured bacterium. Its description in RNAcentral is "partial 16S ribosomal RNA". It matches the Rfam family "Bacterial small subunit ribosomal RNA", at positions 28 to 507 of the family's 1533-position model. The record is from RNAcentral.
GAUGAACGCUGGCGGCGUGCCUAAUACAUGCAAGUCGAGCGAACAGACGAGGAGCUUGCUCCUCUGACGUUAGCGGCGGACGGGUGAGUAACACGUGGAUAACCUACCUAUAAGACUGGGAUAACUUCGGGAAACCGGAGCUAAUACCGGAUAAUAUAUUGAACCGCAUGGUUCAAUAGUGAAAGACGGUUUUGCUGUCACUUAUAGAUGGAUCCGCGCCGCAUUAGCUAGUUGGUAAGGUAACGGCUUACCAAGGCAACGAUGCGUAGCCGACCUGAGAGGGUGACCGGCCACACUGGAACUGAGACACGGUCCAGACUCCUACGGGAGGCAGCAGUAGGGAAUCUUCCACAAAGGGCGAAAGCCUGACGGAGCAACGCCGCGUGAGUGAUGAAGGUCUUCGGAUCGUAAAACUCUGUUAUUAGGGAAGAACAAAUGUGUAAGUAACUAUGCACGUCUUGACGGUACCUAAUCAGAAAGCCACGGCUAACUACGUG